GUCUACGGCCAUACCACCCUGAACGCACCCGACCUCGUCUGAUCUCGGAAGCUAAGCAGGGUCAGGCCUGGUUAGUACUUGGAUGGGAGAAACUAGACAAAAUUACAAUAAAAUAGAAUAACCUAGAAACUAGACU
RNAcentral lists this ribosomal RNA (136 nucleotides) under Octodon degus (degu). Lineage: Eukaryota; Metazoa; Chordata; Mammalia; Rodentia; Octodontidae. The record is from RNAcentral.